This 86-nucleotide transfer RNA is filed under the name human gut metagenome. It matches the Rfam family "tRNA". Rfam says of the family: Transfer RNA (tRNA) molecules are approximately 80 nucleotides in length. Their secondary structure includes four short double-helical elements and three loops (D, anti-codon, and T loops). The record is from RNAcentral.
GAGAGUUGGCCGAGCUGGUCUAAGGCGCAUGAUUGGAAAUCAUGUAUAGGUUAACACCUAUCGAGGGUUCGAAUCCCUCAUUCUCC